AGAGUUUGAUCAUGGCUCAGAUUGAACGCUGGCGGCAGGCCUAACACAUGCAAGUCGAACGGUAACAGGAAGCAGCUUGCUGCUUCGCUGACGAGUGGCGGACGGGUGAGUAAUGUCUGGGAAACUGCCUGAUGGAGGGGGAUAACUACUGGAAACGGUGGCUAAUACCGCAUAACGUCGCAAGACCAAAGAGGGGGACCUUCGGGCCUCUUGCCAUCAGAUGUGCCCAGAUGGGAUUAGCUAGUUGGUGAGGUAACGGCUCACCAAGGCGACGAUCCCUAGCUGGUCUGAGAGGAUGACCAGCCACACUGGAACUGAGACACGGUCCAGACUCCUACGGGAGGCAGCAGUGGGGAAUAUUGCACAAUGGGCGCAAGCCUGAUGCAGCCAUGCCGCGUGUAUGAAGAAGGCCUUCGGGUUGUAAAGUACUUUCAGCGGGGAGGAAGGUGUUGUGGUUAAUAACCGCAGCAAUUGACGUUACCCGCAGAAGAAGCACCGGCUAACUCCGUGCCAGCAGCCGCGGUAAUACGGAGGGUGCAAGCGUUAAUCGGAAUUACUGGGCGUAAAGCGCACGCAGGCGGUCUGUCAAGUCGGAUGUGAAAUCCCCGGGCUCAACCUGGGAACUGCAUUCGAAACUGGCAGGCUUGAGUCUUGUAGAGGGGGGUAGAAUUCCAGGUGUAGCGGUGAAAUGCGUAGAGAUCUGGAGGAAUACCGGUGGCGAAGGCGGCCCCCUGGACAAAGACUGACGCUCAGGUGCGAAAGCGUGGGGAGCAAACAGGAUUAGAUACCCUGGUAGUCCACGCCGUAAACGAUGUCUACUUGGAGGUUGUGCCCUUGAGGCGUGGCUUCCGGAGCUAACGCGUUAAGUAGACCGCCUGGGGAGUACGGCCGCAAGGUUAAAACUCAAAUGAAUUGACGGGGGCCCGCACAAGCGGUGGAGCAUGUGGUUUAAUUCGAUGCAACGCGAAGAACCUUACCUGGUCUUGACAUCCACGGAAGUUUUCAGAGAUGAGAAUGUGCCUUCGGGAACCGUGAGACAGGUGCUGCAUGGCUGUCGUCAGCUCGUGUUGUGAAAUGUUGGGUUAAGUCCCGCAACGAGCGCAACCCUUAUCCUUUGUUGCCAGCGAUUAGGUCGGGAACUCAAAGGAGACUGCCAGUGAUAAACUGGAGGAAGGUGGGGAUGACGUCAAGUCAUCAUGGCCCUUACGACCAGGGCUACACACGUGCUACAAUGGCGCAUACAAAGAGAAGCGACCUCGCGAGAGCAAGCGGACCUCAUAAAGUGCGUCGUAGUCCGGAUUGGAGUCUGCAACUCGACUCCAUGAAGUCGGAAUCGCUAGUAAUCGUGGAUCAGAAUGCCACGGUGAAUACGUUCCCGGGCCUUGUACACACCGCCCGUCACACCAUGGGAGUGGGUUGCAAAAGAAGUAGGUAGCUUAACCUUCGGGAGGGCGCUUACCACUUUGUGAUUCAUGACUGGGGUGAAGUCGUAACAAGGUAACCGUAGGGGAACCUGCGGUUGGAUCACCUCCUU
RNAcentral lists this ribosomal RNA (1534 nucleotides) under Salmonella enterica subsp. enterica serovar Virchow str. SL491. RNAcentral describes it as "bacterial SSU rRNA". It matches the Rfam family "Bacterial small subunit ribosomal RNA". The record is from RNAcentral. Lineage: Bacteria; Pseudomonadati; Pseudomonadota; Gammaproteobacteria; Enterobacterales; Enterobacteriaceae.